GACGGGGGGGGCAAGUGUUCUUCGGAAUGACUGGGUGUAAAGGGCACGUAGGCGGUGAAUCGGGUUGAAAGUGAAAGUCGCCAAAAAGUGGCGGAAUGCUCUCGAAACCAAUUCACUUGAGUGAGACAGAGGAGAGUGGAAUUUCGUGUGUAGGGGUGAAAUCCGUAAAUAUACGAAGGAACGCCAAAAGCGAAGGCAGCUCUCUGGGUCCCUACCGACGCUGGGGUGCGAAAGCAUGGGGAGCGAACAGG
This 251-nucleotide ribosomal RNA is filed under the name uncultured bacterium. RNAcentral's name for it is "partial 16S ribosomal RNA". It matches the Rfam family "Bacterial small subunit ribosomal RNA", at positions 524 to 776 of the family's 1533-position model. The record is from RNAcentral.